UUUGAGGGUUUGAUCCUGGCCCAGGACGAACGCUAGCGGCGCGCUUUAAGCAUGCAAGUCGAGCGAUUCCGACGCAAGUCGGGAUAGCGGCAGACGGCUGAGUAACACGUCGGAAUCUACUCUUUGGUGGGGGAUAGCCCCGCGAAAGCGGGGGUAAUACCGCAUAAUCUCGCAAGAGCAAAGGACUUAACGGUCCACCGAAGAAAGAGCCGGCGGCCUAUCAGCUAGUUGGUGGGGUAACGGCCUACCAAGGCUAUAACGGGUAGGGGGUGUUAGAGCACGGCCCCCCAGAAUGAGACUGAGACACGGCUCAUACACCUACGGGUGGCAGCAACUGGGAAUCGUGGACAAUGGACGCAAGUCUGAUCCCGCGACGCCGCGUGGAGGAAGAAGGCCUUCGGGUCUUAAACUCCUUUUGACAAUCAUACAGGUUGUAGAAUAAGCACCUGCUAACUCCGUGCCAGAAGCCUCGGUAAUACGGAGGGUGCAAGCGUUGUCCGGAUUUAUUGGGCGUAAAGAGUCUGUAGGCGGUCCGCCACGUUUUCUGUUAAAGUCCAGAGCUUAACUCUGGGAUAUCGGAGAAUACGGGUGAACUUUGAGAUCUUUCGGGGAUGUUGGAACUCGUAGUGUAGGGGUUAAAUCCGUUGAUAUUACGAGGAACACCGACGGCGAAGGCGAACAUCUAGAAAGAUUCUGACGCUGAGAGACGAAAGCUAGGGUAGCGAAAGGGAUUAGAGACCCCUGUAGUCCUAGCCGUAAACUAUGCUCGCUUGGGAUAGGUCUCGCAAAGAAUACAUUCUUUGCGAGAAAUUCAAAGCACGAAUAUCGAAGCACGAAACAAAUUCAAAAUCUAAAAAUCCUAAAAUUCAAAACGUUUAAUUAUUUGAAUUUAGAAUUUAGAUAUUGUUUCGAAUUUAGGAUUUCGUAUUUUGGGUUUUGAGCAAAAAAUACGUUGUAUUUUUUGCGAGAUCUGUUCCGCAAGCUAACGCGUUAAGCGAGCCGCCUGGGGAGUACGGCCGCAAGGCUAAAACUCAAAGGAAUUGACGGGAGAGCGCACAACCAGUGGAGCAUGUUGUUUAAUUCGACACGAACCGAAGAACCUUACCCAGGCUUGACAUCCUAAUGAAACUCCGAUGAAAGUCAGAGCCCUCCGGUGCAAACCGGAGCGUUAGGACAGGUGUUGCAUGGCUGUCGUCAGCUCGUGCCGUGGGGUGUUCUCUUAAGUGAGGUAACGAGCGCAACCCCUGCUGUAUGUUAAAUAUUCAUACGGGACAGGUCCGAUUUUAUCGGACAGGAAGGAGGGGACGACGUCAAGUCAGCAUGGCCCUUAUGUCUGGGGCUACAAACAUGCUACAAUGGCGCCUACAAUGAGUUGCCAAGCCGCGAGGCGGAGCUAAUCUCAUCAAAAGGCGUCUCAGUGGGGAUUGCAGGCUGAAAUUCGCCUGCAUGAACGCGGAAUUGGUAGUAAUCGCGGGUCAGCUAUACCGCGGUGAAUACGUUCUCGCUCUUUGUACACA
Molecule: ribosomal RNA, 1517 nt
Filed under: Candidatus Blackburnbacteria bacterium RIFCSPHIGHO2_01_FULL_40_17
Lineage: Bacteria; Candidatus Blackburniibacteriota
Also listed under: 2 other names
Description: bacterial SSU rRNA
Rfam family: Bacterial small subunit ribosomal RNA
Source: RNAcentral